CUGAUUGUAAUGCAAAGUAUGAUUGAGUGUGUAGCAUGUAUAUAAUUGAGUUAUGUUCCAAGUAAAAGUAUGUGAUUCAAAGUGGCGAAUGUAUGUGAUUCAAAGUGGUGAAUGUAAACUUCAAUGUAAAAUCUCUUGGUGAGAUUCAAGUUUGUUUAGAAUGAAUGCAGGAGCUCAGCCUUGGGGGUUAUCCUAAAACUCCAAUGGACUUUCACUCUCAUACAUAGAGGAUUGAUCCAUAUCGUGAGGAGUAGCAGGAGGUUUUAGUCUUGGGGGCUUCCAGUAUGCCUCAAGGCGUGGUACAGACUAACCUUGUGAGAUUGGUAGGGUGAAACCCAUUGACAAUGGCUUUGCAAAGCAGUAAAGGCCACCACAAGUGCACAACCCGCCAUAGCUCAACAAUCAUUCUAAGUCCGGACAAGUCAAGUCUAUGUCAUAACAUGUUAGGAUGGUUCAAUUAGUUGUAUUGUAUGAAUACUCUUGUGUAGUUAUAUGUCAUGUGAUAACAUGAAUGCUUUUACAUCUAGCUUAUCCUUUUUGCUUGUGUUAUGUUUUGUAUGUGCUGUGUUAUUUCAUUUUGCAAUGAUCAUCCAAUAGAUGUGAGCAGAGGGAAAUGAGGUUUCAGUGGAGCGGGC
Molecule: long non-coding RNA, 635 nt
Filed under: Vigna radiata
Lineage: Eukaryota; Viridiplantae; Streptophyta; Magnoliopsida; Fabales; Fabaceae
Description: long non-coding RNA (VRAD_LNC004099)
Source: RNAcentral